AAGUUGGAUUUUCCGGGGGAAAAAACAAAAGUAAGUCUAACAUGUAAUGCAAGUCACCCUGUGCCCCCUCUAAAAUAAUUUUUAUUGCGAUCUGAGGAAAUGCCACCACGUGGACAGUAAUGCCAAAACUGUAGAAUCAAGAUUUGAACAGCCAGUCAUCUGGUCGUGAUCAAUUCAACAAAUCAAGUAUCCUUGCACAAAGUUGUCAAUCACUUCCUUCCAAGGUUUCGGGCAUUUGAAAAGGAAAAAUUCAUCACCUGGCCCAGUUGCCUCAUUCCUAGGAAUUGAUCCUGAUGAAAUGUUCAGAGAUACAGUCAGAGAUGCUUGACGAAGGGUCUCAUGGCUGCAUUAUUUGUAACAGUGCAAUAGUAACAACCACCAAAACGUCCAGCAAUAAGGAAAUGAUAGCAUUCAUUACAAUGCUGGCUCGUUAACUGGUUCGUUAAAUACAACACUGGUCAAAUAUUAUAUAAUGAUUAACACUCACAGCUUUUAAUGUUCCAGUUGUGGGUCAAGGUUCUGGACAAAAUUUUAAAUGACAGGAAGCAAAACCCAAAACUGCGUAUACCUAAAAUCACAUCAUUAUCUCGAUGGAAAGCCACAAAACGUUGCAUCACUACCUCUAAAAAUGGGGUUGUGUGGCUUCAACUUAAAUAUUUACUCUUUGGGGGGCACCUUGUGGCUCAGUUGGUUAAACAUCCAACUCUUGUUUUUGGCUCAGGUCAUGAUCUCUCAGUUCAUGAGUUUGAGCCCCACACUGGCCUUGCUGCUGUCAGUGCGGAGCCCUCUUUGGAUCCUCAGUCCGCCGCCCCUCCCGCACUCAGGCUCCCUCAAAAAUAAACAAUUUUUAAAAAUUAAAUAUAUUUACGCUUUUGUGAAAUUUCCAAAUUUUCUUUAACGUGCAUGCUUUACUUUUAAAUCAGAACAACAAAAAUACCAUUCGUUUUAUAAAAAUUUCCAGGUCUCCCCUUGCAGGCCUCCUCUCAUAUGUCUGUCUGUUCUUGGCUUUUCUAGCUCUUCCCCUCUCUCUUCUGACUCUGUCUUGUCAAUUUAACAGGCAUUCCAUCAGCCCAGUCAUUUUGCUCAGGACCCAAAAGACUGCCAUUCCCAGCCCUGCAGGACAGCAGCACUGGGCCUUCAUAAACCCAAAUGGAAUGGGAGGUAAGAACAAUGACUCAACAUUUCAUCCCAUCUGCAGAUAUGGGCGGACGCUGGGCCCCCAUUUCGUGCCAUCUGCUGUCCUUCCUUGGAGCAUAACACUCCGUAAGUGAAAACUACAACACGGGCUUGCUGGUGAUCAUGUGGGAAAACCAGAAACAAUGGGGAAGUCCAGAAGUGGGUGGGGGCUACAUAAAAUGGCAGCCAGUAAGAAGCCAGCCGUCAGGAACCCUGUUGUGGAACAUGCUGAACAGCAAGGAAGGGACCUCACUUAUGGUGGUGGCUUCAUGACCUUCUGCGUUCAUCCCCUGUAUCUGUCCCCAUCUCGUCCUUCGUUCCUUCAUUCUCUCUACUCGCCCUGGUGGGCUUGCUCACAGUUCCUAGGACAAGCCAGGUGCACUGUGGACUCUGAGUUUUGUGCUGGCUGUUCCUUCCGUGUGGACUGCUCUUCACCCUCACCUUCUCCAGAGCUUUUCUCAGAAAUCACAUUGCUCAAGAGACGUUCCAUCCAAGAUGUCAACUUAUCCCCAAUACACCCUCCCACACACAUACCUUCCUCACAUCCCUCUUCCUGACUUUAUGUUUUCUUUCUAAUGAUCAUUAUUUAACAGGUAACAUGCAUUAGUUAUUUGUUUGUCACCCACCUUCCCCCACCCCACUUAGAAAGCGAGAUGCUUGAGGACAAGGAUUUUUGCCAUUUCUGUAUACCCCGUGCCCAGGACAGAACCAGGAAUUCUCAAGGGUGAAGUAAUGGGUGAAUGAGUGACUUCACUUUCUCUCAUUAUCUAUCUGUAUUUCUUUCUUUUUUUAAUUUUUAAAUAGAUUUUUAAAAAAUUUUUAAUAUAAUUUAUUGUCAAGUUGGCUAACAUGCAGUAUACACAGUGUGCUCUUGGUUUCUGGGUAGAUUCUGGUGAUUCAUCGCUUCCAUACAACACCCAGUGCUUAUCCCAACAAGUGCCCUCCUCAAUGCCCAUCCCCCAUUUUCCCCUCUCCCCCGCCCUCACUCCCAUCCACCCUCAGUUCUCUGUAUUUAAGAGUCUCAAAAAAUUAAAAAUUUAAAAAUAAAAACUAAAGGAGAGAAAAAAAGUCUCUUAUGGGUUUGCCUCCCUCUCCAUUUGAAACUAUUUUUUCCCCUUCCCGUCCCCCAUGGUCUUUUGUAAAUCUCCUACGAUGAACAAACUGCUCUCAUAGCCAAGUGCCUGGUGACUUGUUUCUCAAGAUGCUGUGGUAGGACAGUCAUAGGCAGUUAUUCUGGCCAGGCAGUCCCAGGAUCAUUCUUAGAGAAGAUUCCCUGAACUCCUAGGUGGACAGGUUUCAGGUUCAGGGGUACCCUCUAUCCUGUAGGGAGGAGUAAUGAGACCCCUGUGGCCAGGCAAGUGCUGCCCCUUCUAAUCCCCUCAACCCUGAAGCUGGGGAGAUUGUGGGCAAAAUUCUCAAGGGGACCAUGGGUGUUUGGGGAAGAGAAGGAUGAACAGUGACCACCUCCUGUAAUGAUGAGGAUGAAUCCUACCAGAAUCUCCAGAGUGCACUCAGAUUGUGAAACAGAUACCACAAGCAGCAAACGGGAUGCUCACCCUAAGGGCCUCUGAACCAGGGCCUCAACACCGCCCCCUGGAGGUAGGCGGUGAAAGACCGGUGUGAGCCCAACCCUGGAAGUGAUCCCUGAGCUGAGGAAAGACUGGAGGGGUGAGGCGGUGGGAGCCCAUGCUCCAGGUCCAGCGGGACCCCCAGCAGUGACCAAAAAUGCACCAAGCUGGGUGGGCUAGCUCCCAAAUCACUAAUUCUCCCUUUACCUGUAUUUGGAAACCCACAUAGCCCCUUUUGAGCCAAGGAUCCUCCCCCUGGAGUUCAUGAAGAAUCUGGCGAAAGGUUGCAGGUCUCAAGAGGGAAGAUCCUGGACCUGUUGUUAAUCUGAGUAUAAGGAGUGGUUAAUUUAAAAAAAUCAAUUUUGGGGGCACCUGGGUGGCUCAGUCAGUUAAGUGUCCGACUUCGGGUCAGGUCAUGAUCUCAGAGUUUGUGGGUUGGAGCCCCAGGUCCAGCUCUGCACUGACAGCACAGAGCCUGCUUGGGAUUCUCUUUCUCCUUCUCCCUCUGCCCCUCCCCCUGCUCUCUCUCUCUCUCUCCAUAAAUAAUCUUUAAAAAUAAAGAAAUAAAAUAAUACAUUUUAAUUACAAUUAAAUUGAAAAUUAAUACAUUUUUUAAUGUUUAUUUUUUACAGAGAGAGAGAGACAGAGACAGAGCAUGAGCGGGGGAGGGGCAGAGAGAGAGAGGGAGACAGAAUCUGAAGCAGGCUCCAGGCUCUAAGCUGGCAGCACAGAGCCCGAUGUGGGGCUCGAACUCACAGACCGCGAGAUCACGACCCCAGCCGAAGUCAGACGCUCAACUGACUGAGCCACCCAGGCGCCCCAAACUUAAUACAUUUUAAAAAGUGUAAUUAAGUAACAAUUUUAAUUGACAAUUAAAAGAGGGGUUAUACCUUGCUCUCACCUGGGGAAGUAACUUGUUCUGUUCAUACCUUUUAAAUAAAUUAAUUAAUGACAUAUCUAGGAGGCAAAUAAAUAAUAUAUAAAUAUCAUAUAGAGUAGAUAAAUAAAUGAGUAGGUGAGAAGACAAAGAAGCAGACAAAGGAAAUAAGUAGAUUGUUUUAAGAGAGAGAGAAAGCGAGAAACACGCCCUGUAGUCUCAGCAACGUCACAGGCAGGCUCUUGAUUAAUUCGCGUUCAGCUUUCCAGAAGACUGUGCUUGAGUUCACAUCAUGAAGGAAUGGGUUUGUGUCCGUCCUGUGGUGAGGAGACAGAGGUCUCUUUCAGAGUCUCAGCAUCUACAUCAGCAUCCUUAACCAUCCUCCUUCCAAGGAGAUUUAUUAUCCUCCUAGUUAUUCUAUUAGUCACUCUGCUAUUAGGAGAGCAGGAACUGUUGCAUUUUUAUGUUGCCUGAUCAUAUCUUCCAGUUGGAAAACAUGGUUAAAGAACAACAGCCCAAGAGCCGGGAACCCCACCACCGGGUGGUUCUCUUUCCUGCGGUGCUCACAGGAGGCCAGCAUUUCUGAAUGUGGCUAUGUUGAAUGCCUUAAAGAUAACUUGGGGUAUCAUUUUCUGCAAGGAUUUUAAUUGUAGUCCCAAAGCUGGUAGAUGGAAGCAUUGAGCAUAUGUUUGUGGCCUAUUUAAUGAAGCCAGCACAGGGCUAUGUGUAAAUGCUUAUGCCAAAACAGAGUUGAAAUGGGGCACUUUGGAAGAAAAUGGUGCAAAGGGAAAGGGUAUAUUAGUCAUGGUUCUCUAGAGAAACAGAACCAAGAGACGGUGAUUGAUACAUACAUACAUACAUACAUACAUACAUACAUACAUACAGUGAUGAUAGAUAGACAGGAUGGUAGGUGGAUGGAUGGAUGGAUGGAUACAGAUAAAUAGGUCUGUUAGAAGGAAUGGUCUCAUGUGGUUAGAGAGGCUAACAAGUCUACCUUUGGCGGGCUGGAAAACCAGGAGAGCUGAAGGUAUAAGAUCCGGUCCAAAAACUACCAGGCUCAGGACCCAAGAAGAGCCAGUGUUUCAGUGCAAUGGUCAGAGCAGGAAACAACCAAUAUUCCAGCUUAAAGGCAGUCCGGCGGGAGGAGUUGCUUUUUACUCAGGGGUGAGUCAGACCUGUUGCUCUAUUCAGGCCUCCAACUGUUUGGAUGAGGCCCAUCCACAUUAGGGAGGGCACCAUGCUCUACUGUCUACUGAUUUAAAUGUUAAUGUUUAAUGUUACUGAUUUAAAUGUAAUGGUUUAAAUGUUAAUCUCAUUAAAAAAAAAUACCCUCAGAGGGGCGCCUGGGUGGCUCGGUUGGUUAAGUGUCAACUUUGGCUCAGAUCAGGAUCUCACAGUUUGGGAGUUCGAGCCCGGCAUCGGGCUCUGUGUUGCCAGCUCAGAGCCUGGAGCCUGCUUCAGAUUCUGCGUCUCACUCUCUCUCUGCCCCUCCGUAUCUGUCUCUGUAUCUGUCUCUGUCUCUCUCUCUCUUUGUCUCUCUCUCAAAAAUAAAUAAACAUUAAAUAAUAAAUUAAAAAAAAAACAAAAAACACCCUCAGAGACACACCGAGAAUGAUGUUUGACCAGUCAUCUGGGAAGUGUAUGGCCCUGUCAUGUUGACACAUAAAAUGAACUAUCAAAGGGCAUUUAGUGGAGUUACACUGGUUUUCCACAGUGGAAUGGGGGGUGACACCCAUUAUCUGAAUUCAUGGGGGAAAAUGUUCAGUUUAGUACCCAACUGGGAAAUUACUCUUCCCAUCAAUUGGAUAAAUGUUAAUUAGCUAUAAAUGCAAGGCACAUAAAAAGAUGGUCAACAUCCUUAGUCAUCAUCCACUAGAAGGACUAAAAUUAAAGGGACUGACCACACUAAGAGCUGGUGAGGAUUCCAAGCAACUGGAUCUUGUGGCUAUGCAAAAUGGGAUAGUCACUCUGGAAAACAGCUUGGCAAUUCCUGUAAAUGUUCACUUACUUUAUGAUUCAACAAUUCCACUCCUAUUUCCACGAAAGUAAAUGAAACCAUAUGUCUGCAAAAAGUCUUGUAAAAGAACGUUAAUUGCAGCUUUGUUCAUAAGAGUUGAAAACUGGAAAUAGCCCACUUGUUCAUCGAUACAAGAAUGGAUAAACAAACCACAGGAUAUUCAUACAAUAGAACACUGCUGACUAAUAAAAGAGAAGGAAUUCUAAUCCAGGAAACAACAAAGACAGAUCUCACAGACAUAAGUAAGACUGAGCAAAAGAAGUUCAAGAAUAUAGUAAACUAAUCUGCAAAGAUAGAAAGCAGAAUGUCAGUUGCCUUUGAAGGGAAGGGAGAUUGACCAGAAAUGGGUACCAGGGAUCUUUGUGGGGUGAUGACAGUGCUCUAUAUCUUGAUAGGGGGUUGGAUGAUACAGCUGUAAACAUUUACCACACUCAUGAAAUUACCCUUAAAAAGUUGUGCAUUUUACUCUCUAGCCUUAUGAGAGUAAUUAAACAUUUUGCCAAUAAAAAUUUGCAGAAAAGCAAGUCCCAAAAUAGGCAUGAGACUAAGAGCUGUAGAGGUGAACAAAACAAAAACCUGUAAACUUUCGUGGGCAAAGACAGUAGGCACUUCGCAAAAUGAAUUGGACGGAAGCCAGGCCUCUGGAAACACAACGGGCAAAGUCCUUGUCAUUAAAAUCAGAACUCUGACAAACCAUUAAUUCAGAGACUAAGAAUGAAGGUCCAGAAACAAAGAAUCCCCUAGCACCACCCCAGUACAGAUCCGGAAGCCCAAGAACAGUGACAGAAGCACAAAUGAGAUCAGCAGAACAUGUUAGACCCAAGGAGAGCAAACUCCAACCCAACUAAAGUGAACUGUAUUCUCGUAGCUAUGUCGGACUGUUUGGUAAUCCCUCUGUACCUUCUUUCAUGAUUAGUGUAAAUAUUUGACUUGAACUAAUUCUACAGCAAACUAUCAAGUUCUCAUUCCGUCGGGUAGAUUCAUUCUUUCUCAGCUAAUUUUGAAGUUGUCUUCAUUAAGUCCUGAGUGAAACAGAAAUAAAAGCUAAUAAUCACUGAGGACUUGUUAGGUGCCAGACACUUUGCUAAGUACUCAACAUGCAUUAAUUCAUGGAAUCUUGCUCACCCAAGAAGUAGAUACUGACAAUAGAAUUCCUACUUUACACAUGAAGAAACCGAGGUUCAAUGGGUAAAAAGUUGCCUAAAGUUCCUGAGCUAGGAUGGGAGAGGCAAGAUUCAAACCCAGGCUGUUGGACCUCAGAGACUACUGAGAAUUUUGCUCUAUUGCCCCCUUCUAGGAAUUUUUCAAAGCGCAUGGAUGCUGCCCAACUGUUUUGGAAUCAGAGACUCUUAGAAUCCUGUACACUGCCUAUGAAUGUCUGAGAAACCUACAGAAAGAAGUUGUGGCCAGCCAGUGCCAAGAAAGCUGUCCAUACUACCCGAAGGUCCGUCCAUGCAUUCGUUGGUCCACAAAUAUUUAAGAGCCUACUGUGUGCUAGGCCUUGCUUGCCACUAGAAAAAGAACUGAGAGCCAAAAGCUAUUCUACUACCCUUGGCAACAUCCUUCUCCAAAAUGCUCUCCCAGGCAACCAAGCAGGAAACUGCACCCUGAUGGCCAUUCCCCCUUUGAGAAGUCUAGAACCUCAAAUGUAGAGUCAGCAUAGCAUCCACUGAAAAUGUGCAAAAUGGCAGCCACAGGCAAUCUGGUAUAAGGUAUCUCCUACCUGCUCAAGAAGCUGUCUCUGCUUUCUGAACAGUUUUAUCAGGCCCUAUGAUUAUUUUGUAAUGUAGAUAUUGAUCAUUAAUCAAUGUUGCCUAAGCAACACACUUAGAAUAAUACAUCAAGACCAGCCUCUUCAACAACAAAGCUCUGGGAAAUUGCUGGCAUAUUAGCAUUGACUGAUUGCUGAGACAUUGCUCUCCUGGGCUGAAGGGGGGUGCAGGAUGGGUGACAGCAGGAUGCACAAACAGGUACUACAGGCUGAGCAGAAUUGAUGAGAUGGCACAAGGAAAUGUAGAAUAAAUGCCCUAGGAAUGGCAGUGUCACCUACUGCAGCAGAAAAAGCAGGCUUGAGUGCUGGCUAUGCCGAUGCUGGCUGUGUGUAUUUCAUUGCCUUCUGCCGGCUCAGUUCUCUCAUCCAUAAAGUGGGGUGAAAUAAUUGCUGCAAUGCUGGACCCCUAACGUCAACCAUUAAGUGGAUAUGAAACUGUCAUGUAAACUGUUAAAGCACAAAAAUCGCGGUUGAGGUUUGGAGGUGCUCUUCUGUACCUGAAAUGUUGACCCAAUUAAAAACUAUGAGCUGGAUAUAUCAGAACACCAGCUUCAUUAAUGGUGGCUGGACCCAGCCCAUUUGCUUGUUUCCAAGGGUUCUGUCUCUUCUUGCCUUUGCUUAUGCAGAGCAGCUGGGAAACAGCAGGAGGGGUAACAAAAGGAAGGGAAGAAGAAAAACAUGCUUCCCCAGCAGGUGGAGACCAUACACAAGGAGGCACAGCUUCAGCGUUCUCAGUAGCCAGAUGAGCUACUCUCCUCCACCCACAGGGAGGAGCAUCUGAGCAAUGGCAAUAAAGAUGCAAGCUUCCUCCCCAGAAUGUUCUCUAAGGGGCUUAAAGCAAGGGUAGAAAUUCCAAUUUUUCUACCAACAGUCAGUGGAUUGACUGCUCCAAUAGACUUCCACAACUCGUUUUCCCUACUUUUGCCAUCUCCCACUUUAGAGGCUGGAGAACAUAACUCCCUGAUUUCCCAGAAGCCUUUGCAGCUAGAGAUGACCAUGUGACACAAGUGAGACCUAAGUGGAAAGGUAGUGAGUGAGUAGAUCUUCUGGGGGAGACAGUGUGUCAUUUCUUGGAUGAGGCCUCAAGAGACACCAGCUGUUUUGCUCACUCUCUUCCACAUCUACAACUCACCAUAAGACCAUGACCUGGAUAGCCACUGAUCCAGAGAGGACAUGAGACAUGUGGAACAGACUAGAACCAAGACUGUCUUCAUUUUUUUUUUCUUUAAGCCUGUCUUCUUAAACUAUCAAAAUUACAGCUACUCCUAUGUCCCAGACACUCUUUCAGCGGGCUGGAAGGGCACAUAAACCAUUUACAAACCAUAUCGCUUUAUGCCUGUAUUAGUCAGGUAGGGCUAUCAUAACAAGAUACCAGAGACUGGGUGGCUUGCUUAAAUAACAGAAAUCUAUUUUCUCACAGUUCUGGAGUCUGGGAAGUCUAAGACCGAGGUGCCAUCACAUUCAGUUUCUGUGAGGGCUUUCUUCCUGGCUUGUAGACAGCUGCCUUUUCACUGUGGCCUCACAUCAUGGGGAGAGAGAGAACGCUGGUGUCUCUUUUUCUUCUUGUAAGGGCACCAGUGCUAGAGAUCCUCAUGAUCUCAUCAAACUUUUAUCCUCUUUAUAGGCUCUGCCUCCGAAUAUGGUCACAAUGGGCAUUAGGAUCUCAACAUCUGAAUUUGGAGGGGACACAAUUCAAUCAAUAGCAAUGCCCAAGAUAUCAGACUUCAACACCCAAGGAACCCCACCCCUCCCCUCAGGAAACAUCAGCAUCUGGUGUCUGAUUCUAAUUCAAGCCACAAUCAUUUUGCUGUUCAUGGUCAUCAAUGAUGUGCCAGAAGUUGUAACAUUCAUUCAUUCAAAGUUCAAAGGUUUAGGGAAGAUCAAGAUCUCUGGGGCUAGGGUGAAGGAAGAAGGGAAAUGUAGUAGAAGAAGAGGGUGGAGAGGAGAGAGGAGACAGACCACGUAGGCCUAGCUGAGCAGCCGAAGAACUUCAUUCUGGGGAUUGAAAAUAUUAGGCCAUAGUCCUUGGACAUUUGCAUUUAAAAAGGAGGAGAGGGAAAGCUAUGUUUAUUGUAUACCUAUUGUCCUUACCGGUUCAGGCUGAAAUAACCAAAAUCCCACCCAUCUGCUGCGUGGCUUAAGCAAAACACUUAUUUUUCACAGUUAGGAGGCUGGGAAGCCCAUGAUGGAGGCUCAGGCAGAUUAGGUGUUUGGUGGGGCCCCACCUUCCGGUUCAUACACAGCCAUCUUCUUGCUGUGUCCUUACAUGAUGGGAAAGGGCAAGAAAGCUCUCCAGGGUCUCUUUUAUAUGGACACUAAUCCCACUUAUGAGGGUACCAUUCUCAUGACCUAAUCACAAAGGCCUGCCUCCAAAUACCAUCACAUCGGGGGUUAGGAUUUCAACAUAUGGGCUCUUGGGGGGGGGGGGGCACAAACAUUCCAUCUAUCGCGCUUAUUAUAUGUCAGGAUCUAUAUAUUAGAUACUUUCCAUAUCUUGAUCUUUACAUUUAAAUAUACAUAAUGUUUACUGAGUGACAAACACAAUCACAAUUCUAGAAAUCAAGGCCCAUUUUAUAUUCCAAAUCAACAGUAAGGUGUGAGGGGAAGAGGUGUGUAUUCAAACCUCUCUGACCUUUCCUUGGCUCAAAUUGGAAUAAAUGCAUGAUUUCACAUGGGGAAUGUGGAGGUCAUAUCAACAGCCCAUUAAAUUCAAUCAGAUACACAAUAACCUGUUUUCUAUUCCAGCUAGUAGGUUAAAUAUCCAACUUUUUAAUUUCCAAAUGGUCUCAUGCAAUCAUCGCAAUUACCAUCCUAUUCAACCAUAAAGGUAAUUUAAGCUGUGGGUUUCAUCUCCAUCAAACAACUUGUUUGUAAUAUGCAAUUCUGGCUUGGAUUCCAAGAAUAAAUAUUAUCCUCCAAACAAAUGCAGGUUGACGGUAAUUCACUAAUUCACAAAUAAUAGUUUGCAAAAGAAAUAAACUUUGUGCAGAUGAUACGAUUGAAUAACAAGGAAAAUUAAGAGAACUGGCUGAAGAAAUACAGGAAUGAAUACAAUAAUUCAGUAAGAUGGCUGGAGACAAGAUAAAUAUACAGAAAUCAAUAGCUCUCCCACAAAUCAAUAAUGUAAAAAGAUCCCCACAUUAUAUGGUGUGUGUGUGUGUGUGUGUGUGUGUGUGUGUGUGUGUGUAUAUAUAUAUAUGUAAUUUAUUUAUAAAUGCCAAAAACUAGGAUACGUGUUUUAUAGAUAUCACUUACCCAAAAUAAUUUUCUCAGACGUUGUAACAGAUUUUUUCUCUGUGAUGUACAGAUGUGGAAACUAAACCAUAGAGGAGUAAUUUUCCCAUGAUGAGAAAGCAGCAUGAGAUCUUCAAAAGGUAAAAUCUGAUUGUGCAACUGCUCUGUUGAAAACCCUCCACUGACUUUUGUUCUUAAAAUGGAAGCAUAUCCUUGCAAAGCUUUGCCUGAAGGUCACUGCUACCUCUCUAGGCUUAUUUCAAGCUACUUUUCCUUCAAACUCUAUGAAUUGGAGAUUAACCCAGACUAUCCUGACCCAUCAAAGCCAGGCAAACCCAUAUUGUUGAAGUAGAACAGUUUCCCAAAUUAGUUUUUAGAGGAAAUACAUUUCCAAGUUUAGCUGGCAAGGGGCAAAAAAGCAAAAAAGCAAAAAAGUAACCGAAGCUAAGAAUAGAUUCUUCAGAAACAAAAAGGAAGAAAGGUUAUACGUGUUUUCAUCAAGUUGAAAAAAAUUAAAAUAUAAAAGAAAGUAAUGGACCAUCCUCUCCUUUGCUUCUGAAUAUCCAUGUGAAAAUCUAAAUAAAAUACCAACAGACAGAAUCCAACAGCACUCAUGUUCUGUGACCAAGUGGGGUUUCUCUCAAGAAUUCAAGGAUUCCUCAAAGCGUAUUCCCUAUUAAUAUAAUUCACCAUGUUAAUAGAGUAAAAGAGAAUAUCAUGUGUAUAGAUAAUAGAAAGCAUUGAUGAGAUUCAAUAUCCAUUCCUGUUUAAAAAAAAAAAAAAAACUUUUUGAAAGUAAACAUUUCCUUAACAUGAAAUGAUAUGUCCAUGUCACUCCCCAACCUGGCAAGAUGCUUAAUUGGCAAAGACCAGAAACUCUUUCACUGAGGGACAGAAGGAGUCAACAAUGUCUCCUAUGAUGCACAUUCUCUGACUCUCAUGACAUCCUCUCCCCCAUAUCCACUGUCCAGCUGGAUCCUCCCUGAUCUGCGUCCAGGAGGCCAACCUCGUUAGAUUUUAUCACCAGCUUCCCUUAACCCUGUGGCUUCUGGUCAAGUUUUUCCAAAGGAGACACCAACAGGAGAUCGGGGUGGGGGGUGGGGAUGGCGGCAGGAGAACAGAGAGGGCAGUGUCAUCAGUCACUUGACUGCCUUCUCAUUUGGCUGUGGUUAGCAAUAAUGUGUUUCUCUGGCUAAGGCACAGCUCUUGUAAGAUGCCCUCCAUUCCUGUUCUGAUGGAGUUUUGGCAACUGCUUUCUUCAUUUGCUUUUUCAUGUCUGGGGUAUCCAUUAGAGCUGCCCCAAUGUCGGUAGCCCUGGCGUGCUUCUUCGUCUUUUGCUGGGCUUCCUUAACCCUGCCCACACCUUGCAAAUAGUCCCUUCAUUGAAAUCUCUGCAGUCAGUCCUUUUGAGUCUUGCCUCUGUUCCCUGCCCUGAUUCUGACUGAUACAUCCAAGGCCACCGCCUUUAUUUAACAUAGAUCGGCAGGCAAAAGUUGAUGAAUUUAGACGAAAGAAAUUAAGAAUAAAAAAUUGUUAAGGUGUGUCACGGAAAAAUUGCACCAGGCAAUUUAAACAGACAAAGGAGACUAUUCCAGACUGUUGCACUAGGGGAGUGAGAUUGAACUCAAUUCCAAAUAAAACAGGGACGGCUGGGGAUCUAUAGCUAAUGCGGUGGAGUGAGGCAGUCAUUGGAUUGAGAAUUAAUGGGAGGAACUUGAUUCCCUAUCAAAGAUGGGGAACUCCUGCUCAACUGGUUUGGCAAGAUUCUUGCUGAGCUGGGCUGGCACUGCCAGGACAACAGACCCAGGACCACUGGGCCAAGAAUGACCAGACAAGGACUCCUCCAAAUCGCAUAUUGAUUUCCUAACCCCCAUUGUAUCGGUAUUAGGAGGUGGAGCCUUUGUGAGGUGAUGAGGUCAUGCAGGUGGAACUCUCCCAAAUGGGAUUAGUGCCCUUAUAAAAGAGAUCACAGGGAGUUCCCUUGCCCCUGCCACCAGGUCAGGACACAGCAAGAAGAUGACCAUCUAUGAACCAGGCAGUGGAUUUCCACCAGGCACCGUAUCUGCUGCACAUUGGUCUUGGACUUUGCAGCCUCCAUAACUGUGAGAAAUAAAUAUUUGUGUUUUAAGCUGGGCUAUUUGUUGUUUAAGUUUGUGUGUUUUGUUAUAGCAGCCUGAGAGACUAAGAGAAAAAUUACCAGGUGUACUCACAACUGCAAAGAAAAGACCCCCCCCCCCCCCCCCCCCCCCCCACCACAGUUCCCGGAACCAGCCAGGGCGUGCCCAGUUGUGGUCUGACCUAAAGGCGGGAACCAAUCAAGUUCUGCUGAGUGUUCAAAUUUAAAUGUCAACCAAUAACAGCUCUGUAACCACGAAAAGUCCCUAAUUUGUUUGUGCCUGUCUAUAAAAGAAGCUGUAAGAUCCUCGCUCGGGGCCUCUUAGCGUCACCGGCAACGAGUGCUCGGAGGAACGGGUUCGGACCUGCAAUAAACGACCCUUGCCGCUUGGCUUUGACUCUGGACUCUGGUGGUUUGUUUUCGGGGGGUCUCUCGAAUCGGGGCAUAUCAAGCCCAAACGGACUAAGAUAUCAGGUGAUAUGGUUUGUGUACCUUGAAAAAAAUUCAAGUGCUCAGGAUCAACUGAAAAAACUCGAAGCAAGAGAAUGUAAGGUGACUAAAAAGGUAACUUCCAUGAACCAAAAGCCAUAGCCUUCUUGCAUACCUGGGAUUAGUCAAUUACAAACCAGGGGCUGGCCAAAUCCAGACUGCCACAAACUUUGUCAAUCAAGUUUUAUUGGAACACAGCCAUACCCAUUUGUCUCUUUAUGGUCUGUGGCUGUUUUUGCAAUACAACAGCAGAAUUGAGUGGUUGCAGCAGACUCCAUAUGGCUCCCAAAGCCAAAAAUAUCUAUUGUCUGACUCUAUGAAAAAAGUCUACAGACCACUGCUAUAUACAAAGAACAAGCUUAGUAGAUUUAAAAAAAAAAAAAUCCCAUCUAAAAUAGCAUGCUACACAUUGACCACAGACCUUAAUUUCACAACCAGACUAAUGUGGCAAAAAUCAGAGAAAAUAGGUGAAAAAUAUGGAUUUGAAAAACAACAGUGGGGAAUGUAAGCUGCCUGAGAACAUGCAGACUUUUUGAAGUGGGCUUUGGAUUCUGAGGGGGAAACAAACUGAUGUGCCCUGAAUCCUGACGGGGCCAAGAGGGCACAGCUGAUACUUGGGCAGCAUAAAUAAUAAAAGCAUUGAAACAAGUAUGACAGCAGAGACUCUUGCCAAGUGCCCAGGAACAGCGUUAGCGAGGUGCAGUGUUGUCAGGAGAGGAUUCACAGAUGGACGGCAAGGAAAAGACAUUCUGGGCUGAGCCAAAGACACAGAGGUCUGGAAGAUAGAGCGUUUUGUGACGUGUCAGUAGAAACAGCAAGGGCUAGACCUUGCUGGUGCCAACAAGAAAUAGACAGCUACAGCCUUCCAGCCUGACUGAAAGGUGGUCCUGAAGGACAAUGGUGAAGGAGGAUGCUCCAGUGAUCGGAACUUCCAGGCAGUACAUCUGCACCAUGAGAGAAUUAGAAUCCUGGAGCUACACCAAUAUAUGGGCAGUUGCCAAUCACUUGGCUGGGUGUGGUCGUUCUUAGAAAGGACACACCUGGGGCACUGGCGACCGGGAAGCCUGUGAGAAAUAUACAUGGGAGGACACCUUGGAGUAGGAUCAGAAUGAUCCCAUGAAACCUAAAUCCACAGUAGAGAGGGUUCUCAGUAACCUGAUGGGCAAGAUGGCCUGCGUUUUGGCUGUCAUUCAGCCCUUUUCAGCACCCACCCUCGUGCUUGCUCAAUGGGCCUGUGUGCAAACAGACCAAGGUGACAGGGACGGAAGCCAUGCACGAGUUCAACAACAUGGACUUCUUCCCACCAAUGCUAACCAGGUUCUUGAUCGGCCAACAGUAGAGACCAGCACUGAAGCUCAACAUUACAUCAUUCCCUUCGGGGAACAGCCGUCUACUUUGUGGCAGGACAAGCACUAGUUCCCCUACAUUGCAGAUGGGGCAGAGAUCCAUCCUCACUGAAACAGACACACGACCCGGACAUGAGUAUCUUCCCUAUCUGCCAUGUUUUUGCAGGUACCACCAUCCAUGGGCUAUGGUAUCCCCUAUUUAACGUUAUGACACUUCCCCCUGUAUUGAUUACUCCUUAUCGAGAAAUAACAGAUGCAUGCACAGGUUCCUUUCCGUGGAGUUCACUGGUUUGCCAGGUGCCCAUCAUCUAGGUGCCCCAGGCCUAAUAAGAUAGAGAAAUGGUCUACAGAAGCCUUAGUUACAAAGCCAUUGUGGAGGCAACACCCAGAAAGGAUGGAGUUCUAUAUCUGGAAAGCAAUAUAUGCCUUGAUGCAGCAACCAUCUCAAGGUGCUCUUUCUUCACAUGGGGCCAAGAAUCCAGGGAUGAAGGUGGGAUUGUCUCCUCUCUCACUAUCACGUCCACUUGCAGGAUUUUUGGUCCUGAUCCUACCAACUUUGAGCUCUGCUGCUUUGGAGGUCUUAGUUACAGGGAGGCAGUGCUCCCACCACAAGACACAACAGUAUCUCCAUUGAGUUAGAAAAUGAGAGUAUCCAGGGGCACCUGGGUGGCUCAGUCGUUUGUGUCCCACUUCGGCUCAAGUCAUGAUCUCGUGGUUCGUUGGUUCGAGCCCCACAUCGAGCUCUGUGCUGACAGCUCAGAGCCUGGAGCCUGCUUCAGAUUCUGUGUCUCCCUCUCUCUCUGCCCCUCCCCCAUUUGCACUCUGUCUCUCUGUCUCUCUCUGUCUCAAACAUAAGUAAACAUUAAAAAAUUUAAAAAAAAAAUAGGGUUGAUAAUCCCAACCCUUCAUGAAUGAAAGUUUGAAUUUUAACACCUGGUACAGAACUGAACAAGCUGAGCCCUUGGAUGAGGACAAAGAGAACAUGAGAUGAUAUGACACGAAUAUGACAUGUGAUAACCAGUCAUGACCACUUACAGAAGCAAGGACUGUAGAAGAACUAUGCUUAUCUUCUUCCUUGCUUGGUGUGUGUGUGUGUGUGUGUGUGUGUGUGUGUGUGUGUGUGUGCUCUCUUUUCUUCUUCCCUAAUAUCCAACCUUGUUAGGGCAGUUAACUUUACAAGUUGGUCUUUAAGUAACAGAAUAUUCUGAUGAGACUCUGGCUGACUUCGGAGAGUAAUUAACAUAGCCCCCAAAUGGCUGUAAUGACUGUUGUGACUUUGAGUCUCCUCACACUGGGGAGCAUCGCAGAUAUACAUGCCUUUGCUUGAGUGCAGAGUGGCUGUCUGUGGUCAGGUGGAGGCAUAGAGUUGUCUGUACUGUCUGUAGAAGUUCAAAUACAAAUAGAAGCGUGUGGAUGAAUACUGAGUAGACAGAGUGGAUUUUGCCAGCUUUUUAGCUAUUGUAUUUCAACUCCAAGCCCGUGUUCCCAUACCCCGCUUUGGGAGGCUGGGGCUGGGACCCCGCAAGCACAUUUCUCCUUCACCACUGCUCCCGGUUGGAUUCGGGCAUCGAGGGAACCCACAGGCUGGAGGAGGAAGAGGGGACACAUCCCCUCGGUGACACCAACACCAGCACCAAGUCAUUCCUUCUCUGGAGGCCUGAAGCUUCCAUUCUAUGGGGCCUCUUCUCCAAACUUCUAAGUUUUAGUAAUUCUAGUGUUUUCCCUCUGUUCCUUCAGCCCUAGAGGUAGAUGCUUCUGGCAGGUUCUCCCCCCAUGAUAGUUUACUCUUCUUUUCUUCUUUUGUUCCUUUUCAGGGCUUCAUUUUGCUGUCACUCGUUUAUGUAAAAUUACAGGUGGGUAAACUUUCCAUGAAGACCUUGAUAGUAAAUGUUUAGAUUUGUGAGUCAUACAGUCUCUGUUGUAGUAACUUCACUCUUUUAUCUUUUGGCCUGAAAGCAGCCAUAAACUGAACACUUAAAUGUACAGGCAUGGCUGUGUCCCAGUAAGACUUUAUUUACAAAAGCAGGCAAAGACUGGAUUUGACCACCUGUCUUAAAUUAUUUCUGUUCAAAUAAUAUUAUGUUUUUCUUUCUCCUGCCUGGCCCCAGAUUGACACAGUGGGCAUGAGUCUUAAAGCCUAUCACAUUCUAGUGAAAUAUUCGGAGAAGGUUUCUGAUUCCAAGUCAGAACAAUCAGAGCCAAUGAGAUAGUCGAGAGAGCAUUCUGCCUAAGAAAUGCUGCCUAAGAAAUGAUAUUCUUACCCUCUGGACUCAAAGCUAAACAAUUGGCUUUCAUGGAGCUACUAACAGUCAUCCUACCACCAAGAGGGGAGAGUGGAGCCAAUACAGAGAAAAGUUCAUUGAAGAAUACAGAGCCUUGUUUUGAUAAGAUCAUUAAACACCUAGAUACAGCCAUGCCUGAAGCCUAUGGCUUAAAUUGUAAGAGUCAUAAAUUACCUUUUGUCUUAACCAUUUUGACUUCAAUUUCUGUAACGUGCAACUAAAGGAGUUUUGACAAAAAUAGACACACAAAUAGAUGUGAAAACACAGGGGGGCUAAAAUCUCUUAGAUUACCAUCAUUGAUUCACUUAUUUAACAAAUACAAAGUGCCUAGGUUUAUCAAGCAUUCUGCUGAGGUAAAAUAUACAGCCCCUGUCUCAGAAAUUAGCAGGGUCAUUUUAGAAAAAUAUUGCUCAAGCCUUCCAAGUGAUGCAUUUUUAUAACAAAAUCAAUAAAUCAAGUGUUGGUGCUUAACUUGAAAGAAAGAAAGAAAGAAAGAAAGAAAGAAAGAAAGAAAGAAAGAAAGCAUUUAAAUGAAGAUUUGAACUCUCAGAUACCCUACCCUAAUACUUACUACAAAUCUCUGUCCAAACUCAUGCGUUUAAGAAAUCAAAGUUUGCUUUAUCUUUACAACUCCACUUAAUCUCUAUCUCAAGCCUCAUUCCUUUGGCUUGAAGGUCCUAGGCUCUUCCCUACACCCACCCCCAAGGUGUGGUAAGGUUCCACUGGUUUUUCAUUGUGCCAAUUCACUGAGGAAGACGAAGGGCACACAGUGCCCUCUGCCUAGUGGUCCAUGUUCACCGAUGCAGAUAGAGGGCAGAUGAAGCUUUCUUUGCUCAAGGUCAUUAGCCCCUUCAGGUGUGUGGCAGGCACUGCUAGUUGCUUUCCACUUCAGCUAGAUACAGCCAUGUGACUAAGUUCUAAGGAGAUGUCAAUAAAUGUAUUACAACCAACUUCUGCAGUAGAUCUUUCGAAAGGAGUUGUUUUGCCUGGGAGAAGCAUUCUCUCAAUCUUCCUGCGGCCAAGAAUGCAGAUGUGAUGGCUGGUGCCCUGGUAGCCACUUUGGAAUUUGAGGCAACCUUGAGAAAGGAAACCAUAAGGUGAGGAUAAAGGAACAAAAAGAUAGAUGUCCCUGAUUGCCUUGUGUCACUGGCACACCAGCUCUGGACUACUUGCCUCCAGUCUUCUCUGUUUUUUAACCCACGUUGCAAGCAGCUCAAGCCACAAAAUUAGGAGAGGGUGGUCUCUGUUGCUUGCAGGCAUUAUGCAAUUCCUGUUUCAAAAUCUCCUAGCUCUCUCUGCUGCUCUUCCAGUUCAGAGACCCAGGGACCUAAGCAAGGGCCCCUUUCUAAGUUUGGGGAAAAGCCCUCUGUGGUCAAACCCUGUUUCUCCUGAAUGGGUUCAGGAUGCUGAAAGUGGGAGAGAGGAAAAGGAGAGAGUGCCCCAAACCCACCCCAAGGCAAGGAACACAGAGCCAACUCCCUGCUUAAUGGGGGAAGGGGAGAGACACCAGGAGACAAAAAGAAAACAUCACACAUCUCAAAAGCAUGAUCCAACACACUGUUUCUGAGAAGGUUUUUGCCAACCAUGCUUCCGCCUUCCUCUGAAAACAUUAAUAUUUCCUUCUCUUGCUUUUUACCCUAGCAACAACUUGUGCAAGAUAAACACUCUACAAAGAGGUGUAAGUUUCCAUCUAAUACACACUGCCAAUCGAGAAAUUCAUGAUACAUGAAAGCAACCUUGAAGGCCAUGAAAUCAGAUGGAUCUGGAGGAAUACCAUCAGCCUUGUUGCGAAGAAAAACAGUUGUCAGGAUGAUCUUUGAAGUCAAGAAAAUAACGAAAGCCAGUGAACGCGGUCUAAGAAAACUAAAACGGAUUAUCUCCCCCCAAAUGGGAUGAUUAAAUAUGCUAACACAGGCAGAAGUGGGUCCUCUGCCUGGCCCCCCAGGGCCCUGCACAUGAUGAUAUGGGCUUUGUUUUAGGAAACCUGCUGAAAGGGCGGGCCUACGCCGGCCGACUCCAUCUUGUUCUGUGUCCUCCACCUUGAGUGACGAUGUCCCCGACAUGACCCCCUUUCCGGGAAAAUCACAGAAACCUCAGACCGCGCCUCCUCCCCUUGAGU
Molecule: long non-coding RNA, 18995 nt
Filed under: Lynx pardinus (Iberian lynx)
Lineage: Eukaryota; Metazoa; Chordata; Mammalia; Carnivora; Felidae
Source: RNAcentral